This 460-nucleotide ribosomal RNA is filed under the name uncultured bacterium. RNAcentral's name for it is "partial 16S ribosomal RNA". It matches the Rfam family "Bacterial small subunit ribosomal RNA", at positions 338 to 795 of the family's 1533-position model. The record is from RNAcentral.
CCUACGGGAGGCAGCAGUGAGGAAUAUUGGUCAAUGGACGAGAGUCUGAACCAGCCAAGUAGCGUGAAGGAUGACUGCCCUAUGGGUUGUAAACUUCUUUUAUAUGGGAAUAAAAUGUUCCACGUGUGGGAUUUUGUAUGUACCAUAUGAAUAAGGAUCGGCUAACUCCGUGCCAGCAGCCGCGGUAAUACGGAGGAUCCGAGCGUUAUCCGGAUUUAUUGGGUUUAACGGGAGCGUAGGUGGAUUGUUAAGUCAGUUGUGAAAGUUUGCGGCUCAACCGUAAAAUUGCAGUUGAAACUGGCAGUCUUGAGUACAGUAGAGGUGGGCGGAAUUCGUGGUGUAGCGGUGAAAUGCGUAGAUAUCACGAAGAACUCCGAUUGCGAAGGCAGUUCACUGGACUGCAACUGACACUGAGGCUCGAAAGUGUGGGUAUCAAACAGGAUUAGAUACCCCAGUAGUC